This is a long non-coding RNA of Suricata suricatta (meerkat), 658 nucleotides long. RefSeq lists it as uncharacterized. The transcript is spliced from 2 exons. Lineage: Eukaryota; Metazoa; Chordata; Mammalia; Carnivora; Herpestidae. The record is from RefSeq and is a predicted model, not a curated record.
GUACUUUCAUAAGCAAAUGAAAAUGUCUGUUCCUUCCAACAACCAAACCAAGUGGCAGCACAGGAACUCCGAGAAGGAAGCCAGGGCUCCGAGAGGUCUUUACAUUUUUUUCCCCUGAAGAAACAAGAUCAAUGAAAAGUUCCAGCACCUCUCGUACGGGGUGUUUUCAAACCAGCUGCAUCCUUCCAAGAGGCUUUGCUACUCCUCUGCUGACCAACGGCGACCAUGGUGGCUGCGACCUUAGUGUGACUCAUGCAUUUGAGUGGAGCCUCAGGCCAGUGUCAGCAGCCAGUCCCACCCUCGCUGUUCUUGUCAGGUGAAGGUCUUGGCAGAGUUCAACCUUGGCUGAGCUCAUGCAUGAUUGAUCGUGGGUGAUGCAGCAUCGUUGUUUCCCAAUCAUCACUCACUGACAGAUAUUCUAAAUUAAAUGCCUUCAGUUCAGAAUUGCUAUUGCCAUUGGAAAUUCCAAAUGAUUCAUGAAGAUCAUACUUUUCUGAAUUCCAGGAAUGCCAUUAUUUUUCAGUUAUAUCUUGUGGUUGGGAUUAGUAAAGAGUGAACACAGAAAUACCUAAAAGCUUGUGGGUGACUCUGAUAAUUUUAAUACAUAAGUAGAAAGAAAGAGAGAAGUACAAAUAAAAACUUUCAGUGUUCAUAUUUA